AUUGAACGCUGGCGGAAUGCUUUACACAUGCAAGUCGAACGGUAGAGGGGGCAACCCCUUGAGAGUGGUGAACGGGUGAGUAAUAUAUCGGAACGUGCCCAGUCGUGGGGAUAACGUAGCGAAAGUUACGCUAAUACCGCAUACGAUCUAAGGAUGAAAGCGGGGGAUCGCAAGACCUCGCGCGAUUGGAGCGGCCGAUAUCAGAUUAGGUAGUUGGUGGGGUAAAGGCUCACCAAGCCAACGAUCUGUAGCUGGUCUGAGAGGACGACCAGCCACACUGGAACUGAGACACGGUCCAGACUCCUACGGGAGGCAGCAGUGGGGAAUUUUUGGACAAUGGACGCAAGUCUGAUCCAGCCAUUCCGCGUGCAGGAUGAAGGCCCUCGGGUUGUAAACUGCUUUUGUACGGAACGGAAACCGGUGAGGCUCUAAUACAGUUUGCUAAUGACGGUACCGUAA
Molecule: ribosomal RNA, 459 nt
Filed under: uncultured bacterium
Lineage: Bacteria
Description: bacterial SSU rRNA
Rfam family: Bacterial small subunit ribosomal RNA
Source: RNAcentral